This 720-nucleotide long non-coding RNA is filed under the name Mytilus galloprovincialis (Mediterranean mussel). The record is from RNAcentral. Lineage: Eukaryota; Metazoa; Mollusca; Bivalvia; Mytilida; Mytilidae.
CGGCCAUCUUCGUUGGUAGGCGGGGUCAUUAGACACUUUUUUUUUAAAAAUAGAUACCCUAGUAUUAUGAUUGUGGCCAAGUUUGGUUAAAUUUGGCCAAGUAGUUUUAGAAAUGAUUUUUAUACAAGUUACAAAAAUGACGAAAAGUUGUUCAAUAUUGACUAUAAAGGGCAAUAACUCCUUAAGGGGUCCUCUAACAAUUUUGAUCAUGCUGACUUAUUUGUAGAUCUUACUUUGCUGAACAUUAUUGCUGUCUACAGUUUAUCUCUAUCUAUAAUAGUAUUCAAGAUAAUAACCAAAAACUGCAAAAUUACCUUAAAAUCACCAAUUUUAGGGCAGCAACCCAACAACAGGUUGUCCAAUUCAACUGAAAAUUUGUGAGGGGAUAUAUCUUAUUCUGAUGGACAUUUAAAUCUUGAAAGAUUUGCCCUAAAUGUCUUAGUUUCAAAGAUAUAAAGCAAAACCUGCAUUUUACCACUAUGUUCUAAUUUUAGCCAUGUCGGCCAUUUUGUUUGGUAGGCUGGGUCAUCGGACACAUUUUUUAAACUACAAACCACAAUGAUAAUUGUGGCCAAGUUUGGUUAAAUUUGGCAAAGUAGUUUCAGAGAAGAAGAUUUUUAAAAAAGUUACAAAAAAUGAUGAAAAGUUGUUAAAAAUUGACUAUAAAGGGCAAUAACUCCUUAAGGGGUCGACUGACAAUUUUGGUCAUGUUGACUUAUU